This 384-nucleotide unclassified non-coding RNA is filed under the name Hevea brasiliensis (rubber tree). Lineage: Eukaryota; Viridiplantae; Streptophyta; Magnoliopsida; Malpighiales; Euphorbiaceae. The record is from RNAcentral.
CUCAAAGGAGCAUCCCAUUUUGCAAUUGGCAUUGCAUGAUGAUAGCAUAUGGGUUGCAACAACAGAUUCUUCAGUUCAUAGAUGGCCUGCUGAAGGACGCAAUCCUCAAAAGGUCUUCCAAAGAGGUGGUUCAUUUUUAGCUGGAAACCUGUCCUUUUCGAGGGCAAGGAUUUCUUUAGAAGGAUCCACCCUGGUUCCUGUCUACAAAGAACCGACCUUAAGCAUUCCUGGAACUCCAGCAAUAGUUCAGCAUGAAAUUUUAAAUAAUAGAAGGCAUGUCCUGACUAAGGAUACUGCUGGUUCAGUGAAGCUAUGGGAGAUCACAAGGGGUGUUGUAGUUGAGGACUAUGGAAAGGUGUCAUUUGAGGAGAAAAAGGAGCAAUU